GGUUGGAUGGCCGAGCGGUCUAAGGCGCCAGACUAAGGAUCCGCUUCAUUCUGAAGCAUCAAUUUCCAUACGGAAAUCUGGUCCUCCGGGGCGUGGGUUCGAAUCCCACUCCAAUCA
Mycena epipterygia is the source of this 117-nucleotide non-coding RNA. The record is from the annotation of a GenBank genome assembly. NCBI's taxonomy places the organism in Eukaryota, Fungi, Basidiomycota, Agaricomycetes, Agaricales, Mycenaceae.